Molecule: ribosomal RNA, 424 nt
Filed under: uncultured bacterium
Lineage: Bacteria
Description: bacterial SSU rRNA
Rfam family: Bacterial small subunit ribosomal RNA
Source: RNAcentral
UUGGGAAUCUUGGACAAUGGGCGCAAGCCUGAUCCAGCCAUGCCGCGUGAGUGAUGAAGGCCUUCGGGUUGUAAAGCUCUUUCGCCUACGACGAUAAUGACGGUAGUAGGAGAAGAAGCCCCGGCUAACUUCGUGCCAGCAGCCGCGGUAAUACGAAGGGGGCUAGCGUUGUUCGGAAUUACUGGGCGUAAAGCGCGCGCAGGCGGCUUUCCAAGUCAGUGGUGAAAGCCCGGAGCUCAACUCCGGAAUUGCCAUUGAAACUGGAAAGCUUGAGUACGAGAGAGGUGAGUGGAAUUCCCAGUGUAGAGGUGAAAUUCGUAGAUAUUGGGAAGAACACCGGUGGCGAAGGCGGCUCACUGGCUCGUUACUGACGCUCAGGCGCGACAGCGUGGGGAUCAAACAGGAUUAGAUACCCCUGUAGUCC